GCACUUCCAGUUGGCUUAAAAAUUGUCUCUGGAAAGAUGCUCGGUUCAUGCCAUACAAGUCAUAUAAGCUGAGAACCUAUCGCGGACUCUAAAACGGUACGAAUCAGCUAGAAAUCGCAACAGGAAAAUCGAUAGCCGGUUAGUCACCGCACAAACCUUAAAACCGAGAGUAAGCCUAGGUCUUACCCUAAAUCCAUCGCAUUGGUCUCAGACAUCUCAAGACAUGAUAUCUAAACGAUACGAGAUCCUAAAACAUGUCUCUCCGUUCAUAUCUCUACGAAAAAAACUCACCAACAAACUAACAGAUUGAACGCAUCAACGAAGUUAAAUAUGAGAAAAAAACUCAUGUUUACUUCAAUCCCACUCGAAACAAAGUAACUCAAACAAACAUCCAUUAUAUAAACCGCAUAGCGGUAGGGGUUCAAAGCCACCAACGGCCAGUCCCGAUAAAAAUAAAAACGGCCAAAACAGGCCCAUACAAAGUUCGAAGGCCACACUUGGCCGCAAAAUACUAGAUAAGGGAAAAACUUCUUCCCGUCAAACACUCACAGAUCAAAGUUGAAAUUCCCGGACAAGGAAGCUCCAAAUGCAUCCGCGGGAUAGUUCACUUCCUCAUCAUCACCGGCAAAAUCAGUCGUGGUUUCUACGGUAUCAGGAGAAAC
Molecule: long non-coding RNA, 662 nt
Filed under: Brassica napus (rape)
Lineage: Eukaryota; Viridiplantae; Streptophyta; Magnoliopsida; Brassicales; Brassicaceae
Description: long non-coding RNA (BNAP_LNC013971)
Source: RNAcentral